UACGUAGGUGGCAAGCGUUGUCCGGAUUUACUGGGCGUAAAGAGCGCGCAGGCGGUCGUUCAAGUCGAGUGUGAAAGCCCCCGGCUCAACUGGGGAGGGUCACUCGAUACUGAUCGACUCGAAGGCAGAAGAGGGAAGCGGAAUUCCCGGUGUAGUGGUGAAAUGCGUAGAUAUCGGAAGGAACACCAGUGGCGAAAGCGGCUUCCUGGUCCAGCACCGACGUUCAGGCACGAAAGCGUGGGGAGCAAACAGGG
RNAcentral lists this ribosomal RNA (254 nucleotides) under uncultured bacterium. RNAcentral describes it as "partial 16S ribosomal RNA". It matches the Rfam family "Bacterial small subunit ribosomal RNA", at positions 524 to 777 of the family's 1533-position model. The record is from RNAcentral.